Long non-coding RNA from Bombus terrestris (buff-tailed bumblebee), 918 nucleotides. RefSeq lists it as uncharacterized. The record is from RefSeq and is a predicted model, not a curated record. Lineage: Eukaryota; Metazoa; Arthropoda; Insecta; Hymenoptera; Apidae. The transcript has 2 exons.
GAGAGUUCGUUUUCACCGUAUAAAGAGAUAGUUUUGGAUAUUAAUAUCCCGAAUUUUUGUAUAACUGAUAGUAAAAGAUUCUUCACACUUGGAUUAAGUAGUUAUCUCUACAUUUCUUAGGUAUGUGCAGAUGCGUACGUGAUCACCCCAGCUCCCAGACAAAAACACACUUGCUAGUCAAUUGACUGACUUUACCAUAUGACAUAGGAUCUUGACAGUAUAAGAGUAUAAUGCUUAUACAUAUAUGUAUAUACAUAGAUACAGGUACAAGGUUAUUUGAAAUUACUUACACGAUAUAUAAAUUUUAUUUUUUAAUUAAAUAAUUUCUAUUUCUUUUUAUAAUCGAGAAUAGUACUAAUGAAAUAGACAUUUAUUUAUUCAAUGAUAUUAUAAAAUGCUAAAAAGAUAUCUUUUGAUUGAAACGAGUAACUAAUGUAAAUGUAUUCGGAAGCUGAAACAGUUUCGAGUUUUAUUUUCAAAACAUUCUAUUUCCAACUUUAUUUUCAUGUAUAAAAAGAAUAAUAAAACAGAACACAGUGUGAACUAUCAACUUGUUAACAACAAAAAUGUAAAUAGGGAUAUUAAUCGCUGUGUAAAAAUACUUAUAAAUGAAUUAUAAGGAACAACAUGUUUUAUUUUAAAUAACUGUUAUAUUUUGCGUAUAAUAUUUUUACAUAUAUUACUUUAUAAAUAUGUAUAUAUGUAUAUAUAUAUUCUUUUACUCCUUUUACUCUCUAUAAUACUGUCAAUUGUAUAAAUUUACAGUAGCAUUAUAUAUAAAUUUAUAAUCAUAAAUUUUUUUUAUUAAAUCUUUGUUAUGUAACAAAUUAAAACGGAAUGUAUCUACAGGAAUGUUAUUUACAAACAAUAAAAAUGUUGGAAUGCUAGUUUCAUAACAGUACAACAAUAAAAAUAUAA